CCUUUGCCUGCCUGGGGCCUUCCAAAGGUUUGUGGCUUCAUCCCUGAGGGAAAGGCACAGUGGGACAGCUGCAUCCUGAUCCUUGAUGGGAGGAAGGUGAAGAUACACCCUGGGAGAUCUUCAAAGCAGCCCUGGGAAAAAGAACUGUGCAGCAAACUAAUCUGAUCAUUGUCAUUGGCAGCCAAAUUCCUCUCAGUUGUAAACUUACAGACUGAAGCCAGGAUCAUCCAGGAUAUGGGAAGCUGGAAAGCCAAGAGCUGUGUUUAACUGAUGUUUCUGCACACCACAGGGGUGUGUGUGUGAAAGGAAGAAAAAGGUUGGUGGCAA
Lagopus muta (rock ptarmigan) is the source of this 327-nucleotide long non-coding RNA. RefSeq lists it as uncharacterized. The transcript has 3 exons. NCBI's taxonomy places the organism in Eukaryota, Metazoa, Chordata, Aves, Galliformes, Phasianidae. The record is from RefSeq and is a predicted model, not a curated record.